This 343-nucleotide ribosomal RNA is filed under the name uncultured Deferribacteres bacterium. RNAcentral describes it as "bacterial SSU rRNA". It matches the Rfam family "Bacterial small subunit ribosomal RNA", at positions 28 to 351 of the family's 1533-position model. The record is from RNAcentral. Lineage: Bacteria; Pseudomonadati; Deferribacterota; Deferribacteres.
GACAAACGCUGGCGGCGUGCCUAACACAUGCAAGUCAAGGAGAAUGGGGUUUUUCGGAAUCCCUAGUAAACUGGCGUAAGGGUGAGUAACGCGUAGGCAAUCUGCCCUGCAGUGUGGAAUAACAUCGGGAAACCGUUGCUAAUACCGCAUGAUGUCCAGAAAACUCAUGUUUUUUGGACCAAAGGGGGCUCCGACUUGUCGGAGUACCGCUGUGGGAUGAGCCUGCGUCCUAUUAGUUUGUUGGUAGGGUAACGGCCUACCAAGACUACGAUGGGUAGCUGGUCUGAGAGGAUGGUCAGCCACACUGGCACUGAGAUACGGGCCAGACUCCUACGGGAGGCUG